Molecule: long non-coding RNA, 295 nt
Filed under: Salvia miltiorrhiza (redroot sage)
Lineage: Eukaryota; Viridiplantae; Streptophyta; Magnoliopsida; Lamiales; Lamiaceae
Description: long non-coding RNA (SMIL_LNC010983)
Source: RNAcentral
CGAUUGCCCUUUGGUUGAGGGCAAGAAAGCAUGAAGCCUGUGUGUGAAAGUGAACGAGAAAGGAUGGAAAAAGGGGAAGCAAGUACGGACGCGAACUAACCAGUUGAAUCAUCUGUGGUCGCUCAAGUCGCUUAUUCCUAUAUCAGUGCGAAUUAGAAAAACCAUAACUAUUGGCUUUAGCCACACACCAAUGUGAGAAUUCCAGCUCGUGUCUAAUCAGACCAACUCAACUAACAAUACAGGAGCAGCCUAACCUUGGCAAAGGGGGGCGCUUAGGUGGGAAUCAUUUGAAAAG